This is a non-coding RNA of Jimgerdemannia flammicorona, 73 nucleotides long. NCBI's taxonomy places the organism in Eukaryota, Fungi, Mucoromycota, Endogonomycetes, Endogonales, Endogonaceae. The record is from the annotation of a GenBank genome assembly.
GGGGAUAUAGCUUAAUAGGUAAAGUACUAAUUUGUCGUAUUAGUUGAUAUCGAUUCGAAUUCGAUUAUUCCCG